Molecule: long non-coding RNA, 2632 nt
Filed under: Panax ginseng (ginseng)
Lineage: Eukaryota; Viridiplantae; Streptophyta; Magnoliopsida; Apiales; Araliaceae
Description: long non-coding RNA (PGIN_LNC003923)
Source: RNAcentral
UCGGAUUCAUUACACUUGUGAUCUUUAGUAGACUCUUCAUGGUUUUCUGGUGUAGUUGAGAUGUCAGCACUCAUAUGAUUGGAAAUUGAAUUAGGGUAUCCAUCUUCACAAGCAAAACUAGAUCUUAAUGAUGAACGCUUUCGCUUGUAUGUGAAAACCACUUUACUGCCAACCAUUUGGACUGUUAUAGAUGACUUCUGCAGCUGGACUCUAGAACUUUACCCCUCUAGAAGAAUGAAGCAUUUCACUUCUUACAUACAGUAAAAUACCAGUUGAUUUUCAAAUCAUUUAGAUAACUGCGAAAGUAGAUUGAUUGAUUAAAAACUAAAUAAGAGAGAGAGAGAGAUGUUUCACAUGGGCCAAUAGUUACUGAGAAAAAGAAAGUCAGCAGAACAUGCUAUAAAAGGAAAAUUCAGUUUAUAAAUUCUACAAUUUAAAGUAACUACUGAUAUACCAAAACUAGAUGCAUAUGAAAUUAUGAAUCUAAAAAACAUAUUGAUAUUUUUUUUAUUAGCAAAUCCAAAUCAGAUGUUGUCCAUAUAGUAAAUAAAACAAUUUUUCGGAAAUAAAAUGGAUGUAAUCCAGAUGUGAGGGCAAAUAGCUAGCCAUAUUACAUGAGAAUUUGCAAACUCUGACAGGAACCAUUGCAGUAAACACUUUAAUAUACAAACAGAGAGUUUUUAUCUCCUACAAUUUCGACAUUUCAAAUUCUAAUUAAUCACAGUAUAGAAACAAGACAAUUUUAUGUGAUUCUUGUUGGAACUUGUGACUCAUAACAUAGAAACUACUGAAAAAGGCUAGUGCGGAGCGGAGCGAGGGGCCCCCCGCGGUACGGUACAGAGUUUCUGCAUGUAUGACACGGGACGCGCCGAUGCAAGGCUAGGAGUGGCGCGGGGCGCGCCAGUAUUUGAGACAUAAUGUGAAGUAGGGUUGGAAUAUGAUUAGUGGCUAUAAAUACUAUCUAUUGUAAAGCUUUAUGUAACCAAGGAAUCAUCAAUAAAACAACAAGCCGCCUGUGAAGAACCCAAAUUGGGGAACCACGUAAAUCUUUGUGUUAAUUAUUAAUUCUCUAUUGUCGUGUGUGUGUGAUCCUAAUUUCUAACAAUCCUCAUUGACAAUAAAUUUAAAACUUUUCAGGAUGUAUUUAUGUCAAGUGAAUUCAAUCAUGCAUUUCUUUCAAAUUGCACAUUUCUUGUGAAAUCCCUACAGCUGUUUUGCACCUCGGAAAAACUGACAGGAAAAGGAAAAAAAUGCUAAAAACAACUUAAUUCCCUUUAUUAAACACAAAGUCGACUAUCUGUAUUAUUAUAAAACCUAAUACCAAUUAAAUUAUACAUUCACAUGUGAUGGAUCUCUAUGGAAAACUUUUCUUUUUCUACUUCUUUUUUCUUUUCUUAUCAUCCCUCAUUUUUCCAGUGUUCCUACUGUAAAAUACCUCGUAUACCACAGGAUUAAACCAAAAUUUGAAUAGCAAACCAAUGGAGCUAAGUUACUUUCCAAUACUGUUUUUCCUUGAGCAAAAUUCUUCGGCUUAUCUCUUUUUGAACCAUUUCGGUAAAGUAGAAUUCAACCAAAAUAGCAAAACAGAAGUUUAAAAUUAUUUGUUAAAAAUUAAUUACAAAGUCUCUAAUAACAGAGCAAAAAAAAUUGUUCCAAAACUAUCAACUACAAUACUCUAUCAUGUCCACAAGUUAAUAACAUUCCCAAAUAAACACUUCCUCGGCAAUUUUACUAACUUAACUUUGAAACUUUAUACCCUAUCCUAUACAGUGCAAUUCAUAUAGAUUUAAUUCAUGUCUCUAAAUAAUUAACAAAUAUACUUAUACUUAGAACCAUAAGUUAAUAAACAAACACAUUUAGUUAAGUACAGCUAGAAAACUGAACUAAAAGAAUAAUUGAUAGUCCCGAGGCCAAAAAUAUACAUACAUACACACAUAAUACUAGUGAAGAACACACUUGAGAUAUAAGAAGAAAGUAAACAAUUCAUCAGCAAUUUUACUAACUCAGAUUUGAAACUUUAUACCCCAUCCUUUACAAUGCAAUUUAUAUAGAUAGAGUAAAUUACCAAAUAUACUUGCACUUAAACCAGAAGUUAAAAAACAAACACAUUUCACCACUCCAAUCAAUGAAAAUUUUCAACUACAGCAACAAAACUUAACUGAAAGUAAUUGAUAGUCCCAAGGCCAAAUAUAUAUAUACAUUCAUAAAUGUAGAUUUAAUUUUUGUCUUUAAAUAAAUUAACAAAUAUACUUAUACUUAAAACCAGAAGUUAAAAAACAUACACAUUUCAUCUGUCCAGUCGAUGAAACUAAUUAAAGAUGAAAACUGAACUGAAAGAAUAAUUGAUAGUCCCGAGGCCAAAUAUAUACAUACAUACAUACAUACAUACAUACAUACAUACAUACAUACAUAACACUUGAGAAGAAAGUACGACGUAAAAUGAGUUACCUGAAUCUACUUGCCUGAGAAGAAGCCGGCCGGCGGUGAGGAUUUAAGAUUUGGAGAUAGAGUUGAGCCGUACUCUUACUUCUCUUCUCUCUUAUUGCCUUUUGUGAUAUACGUGGUAGAGUGCUUUCUUUUCUUUUUGGUCUGUUUGUAAACAGAGAAAGAGAGUGCAUAAAUUAGAGUGAGC